RNAcentral lists this non-coding RNA (24 nucleotides) under Cricetulus griseus (Chinese hamster). The record is from RNAcentral. Lineage: Eukaryota; Metazoa; Chordata; Mammalia; Rodentia; Cricetidae.
UUAAUUAAAAGUCCUAAACUCUGG